UGGGGAAUAUUGGACAAUGGGCGCAAGCCUGAUCCAGCCAUGCCGCGUGAGUGAUGAAGGCCCUAGGGUUGUAAAGCUCUUUCAACGGUGAAGAUAAUGACGGUAACCGGAGAAGAAGCCCCGGCUAACUUCGUGCAAGCAGCCGCGGUAAUACGAAGGGGGCUAGCGUUGUUCGGAAUUACUGGGCGUAAAGCGCACGUAGGCGGACAUUUAAGUCAGGGGUGAAAUCCCGGGGCUCAACCCCGGAACUGCCUUUGAUACUGGGUGUCUGGAGGAUGGAAGAGGUAAGUGGAAUUCCAAGUGUAGAGGUGAAAUACGUAGAUAUUCGGAGGAACACCAGUGGCGAAGGCGGCUUACUGGUCCAUUACUGACGCUGA
This 377-nucleotide ribosomal RNA is filed under the name uncultured bacterium. Its description in RNAcentral is "bacterial SSU rRNA". It matches the Rfam family "Bacterial small subunit ribosomal RNA", at positions 355 to 749 of the family's 1533-position model. The record is from RNAcentral.